CAGAGCAGGCCUUCACCCCCGCCCCUCCCCCGGCCUCCCCGCGGGCCAGGGGGACGCGGUCGCCAGCCGGUUGGGUGAUUAACUCACCGUUUGUCUCUCGGAAAGUGUUCCAGGUGGAUCAGGAACACCCACCCGCCCGCCGCUCCGCGCCGCGCCGCCUCCGGGAGACAGGAUCGAGCGUCACAUGGCGCGGGCCGAGCCGGCCUUUGUGCAGCGCGGCCGCCCCGCCGCCCCGGGGAGGCGGCGGCUAUUGUUUCCCGCGGGGGUGGGAGGUGCUCGGACUCGGGGUCCACGCCAGCCCCCUACCCAGUGUGUCCCCAGGUUCGAGGAUGGGUGGGGGCCUCCUUUGUGUGUUUUCUGCCGGCGGCGGAGAUGGCAUCGUUGCUGCCCCAAGAGUUAUUCUUCUUCCGUGAAAAUGACCCAGACUAGAUAUAGGAACCAGUCAAGAUAUUUUGCCACAAGACCUGGGACAAGAAGACUUCCAUCAUAUCUCCCACCAUGCUGAUCUCCUGGGGACCCUUCACCUGUUUCUGCUACUGCAAAUGACUGGACAUGCAUUUAUUUACCUUGGUUCUUCCUGCAUGUGUGGAAACCUUUUGUUCACUGUGCUUCAGGCUGGACCGGGCCUGAAAUUUCUGAAAGAAGGAGCAGAGUAAGGCCAAGAGUUGCCAGAUGAAGAGGACCUUCCUGGAUCUAACUGGGAUUAACCCAUUCUUGACUUCAGGAGGAAGUUUCAACUAAUUCUCAGGAUAAAGUCAAAACAGGCCUGUGACUGUUCCUUGAAUAUUCAUGGUGUAAACAAGCUUCUGGCUCCCCCAGGUCAAGCAGAGAAACACUUAUUAGAAUGUUGGGUUUCUUCUUUGUUAUUCAAACAUACACCCACACACAUCCUCUUCACCCUCCCUAAUGAAAAACCUCAACAGAUGGGGAGCCUAGGCUCCCAAGCCUGCUGGCUGAGAAGAUCACUUCACUCAGGGUCAGUUGGCUGGUACAGAAUGGGGGGAGGGAGAAGGGACGAGUAGCUAGUAUAGUUAAUCACUAUUUUUUAAUACUCCUUACAGAUAGAAAUUCAAAAAAUCCUUUUCAGCAAGGUUAGCAGCCUCCGGGGCCUGGGAAACUAAUUUGGCUGAUGUGUCUCCGAUAGGGACUAGGCUUGGGUUGCUCCAAGGGGAAAGCACUUGCUCUAUAUUCUCUCCCCCUCUCAUCUGAACGCCUGUACAAAGAAAUGGUACAAAUGGAUGGUUAACUUAAUGAUUCCAUCAGAGGCGGAUUCUUCUCUGUCAGGUCGCUGGGUAAGGCUGAGGUCUGAAAGCCAGGAGGUAGAAUGUGUAGUCGCCCUUUCUUGCCACCUUUCCAGGGGCCAGGACUACUCUUCAGGCCUUUCCUCGGCCACUUCCCCACCCCCCUGGCUAGCGCAGUUGGGUCUUCUGACUCCACUCCAUGCUGGGUCCUGAGUUUCUCCUCGUAGCCAGGGCAGGCUCUCCCUCGGCCGAAAUCUUUUCCCACCCCACCUCCCAUUUUGCAGCUAGCCAUUCCAGCUACCUCACCUCAGCGCUGCUUUAAUUCACGUUUGACUGUCUCGACGGAACAACCAGGGGCUCCCGAAUGACCGCCACCCCCCAUCCGUGGGCCUGGGCUUGAGGCCCCGAGCCCUUUCUUCAGGUCCCAGGAGACUCCCCCACAAACUCCCUGAUCCCACCUCCCUCAAAGCGGUCUGUGUAGGAAAAAGGCAGAGCUGGCCACGGCCACAGCCCGAGAGCCAUUUCCUCCUCUUGCGCAGGCGAGGUAAAGCCUCCUCGAGCCCAAAGCCCGGAGAGAGGCCGGCCCCUCACCACCUGCCGGUGUCGGCCCCCGCGCCGCCUUUGUGCGGCCUCCCCGCCGCGGGGCCCGUGGGAAGCCGCGCGCACAAUGGCGCCGCCGCUCCCGGAAGACCCGCUGCUCCGGGCGCCCUGGACCCAGCGCCCGGUAGCGAGGGGCCAGCAGCCUCGAGGCCGUGGUGAGCUCCCCACGGCCCCCCGCGCGCCGCUCCCGGGAAGAAGCCUCGGUCUGGGAUGGCGGUUUCCUUCCGCUGCAAAUUUCCCUCUUCCCGCUGCAGUCCUCUCCGGGAGAAGGAGAGGCCUGGACCCGGAGCGCCAGGCCGGGCCCAGGGCUCCCCUCCCCCACUCUUCUUUCUCUGCUGUUCCGAGACCCGGGAGGGAGGAGGCGGGCGCCUUCGCCGAUAGAGCAGCUAUUGUGACCUUCCCUCGCAGAGCGGGAAGCCAGCCGGGUGUGUACCGCCGGCGGUGGCGGGGGAGGAGGCGACUGUGUGCAAACUUCGGGGUGCGGAGGGGGUGGCACUGGGAAAUAAAGGUUUGCAACCUCGGGCAUUGGAGCCCUUCAGAGGGCGUUUGGUUGUGUUUAGACUCCGGUGCUUCCUAACACUAAUUGCAGGCUCAAAAGCAGCAGAAUUUAUGGCGAAGGCCAAGGCGGCUUGUUUAUAAUUUAUGAAGUUUUAAAUGGCCGUGCGCGGGCCCCCGCUCUCGCCCUGGCCGGCGGCCGCGCCGGAAGCGCCCUCCCCAGACUCGCCGCCGCCCGCACUCGCGCCGGGAGCCACCGAGUGUGGCCAUCCCAUGACGCUCACGCCAGUGGCAGGAACGGAUCCAUCCGAGCCGCCCUCAGAAGCCUCGGGAACCUUUCUCCAGAGGUGAGAGAGGACCGCAGGUUUGUCCCAAGAGAACUCCCACCCCUCUAGCGAGGGGUGCUUCGGGGCGGCGGCGGCUGCCUGGAGAGGGAGCCCCCAGCCCCGCGCUUCUUUGAGCCCGAGUGUGAGAGGAGGCUGAUGUCAGCCGGGCUAGACACCGUUUAAAAUCUAAUCCAUGAAACGCUAAGCCGCAGAUGACACUUGGGGCCUAGCAGACACCCGCAGACUCAGCAGAUACUCCUGCGGUAACACACCGCGCUGGAAAACGCCUGGAGCCAUGAUGCAUUAUGUAUUUUUAUUAUUAUUUAUGGUGGGAAGAGGAGAUGAGGGAAAACCGGGCUGAAUCUAAACAGCCUGACAAUUCAUCUGUUUAAUAUUUAGCCAGUUAAGAAGGGUUGUUGUAAUCCCUGCAAGGCAGCAAGCUCUUCUUUGAUUUCCCUAAUAGCUUUAAAAAAUAAUUUCUUACAAGACAAUUAGAAAUUCUGCCUAUGGAUGCAAAUUUCACAGAAAAACAAUUUUAAUAAGCCUUGAAAGUGGGUAAAAUAUCCCUUCGGUUGAAGUCAUUUAUUCUGUUGAUACACUUCUACAACAUGUAUACUUUAAACCUGCUCGGAUGAAGUGAAAUUUAGCAUAAAGGAUAAUCCCCUCCCACCCCCAAUCUAACAUGCCAUUUUAAAAACAGCACAGAGGAACAAGGAAACUAAAUAUUAUUUUCAGCCAUCACUAUUUAGCGAAACACAAACAUCCAAAUAGAAACGAUUGUUGUUCCACCAGAAGAUUAGAAGUUAAAUUAUUUCCACACAAUAGGAAUUUCACCUCGUGUCACCGGGGAUGUAGUAGGAGUUGCAUUAUUUGUCAAACCAAAUAGAGAUGCGUGGGCCCACUUUGCUGAAAUACAAAAGAAUUGAAUCUUAUCUGAAGGCGCUCUCCGAGUGCCUCCUUCUAGAGAAGCGGGUGUAAGUAGUGCGCCCCAGCUAAAGCCACACUAAUAUUUACAAAAUGGUUAUAAAUCCUCGAAGACAUUUUGCCCAUUUUGUACAAAGAAGCAGGAGUAAACAAAGUGUUUAUACUUGUUA
Long non-coding RNA from Balaenoptera ricei (Rice's whale), 3756 nucleotides. RefSeq lists it as uncharacterized. The transcript is spliced from 3 exons. Lineage: Eukaryota; Metazoa; Chordata; Mammalia; Artiodactyla; Balaenopteridae. The record is from RefSeq and is a predicted model, not a curated record.